Molecule: long non-coding RNA, 559 nt
Filed under: Triticum aestivum (bread wheat)
Lineage: Eukaryota; Viridiplantae; Streptophyta; Magnoliopsida; Poales; Poaceae
Description: long non-coding RNA (TAES_LNC007378)
Source: RNAcentral
UGACAAAAGAAGUGUUCUUUUUGCUAGCAAGUGUUUAACUCUACAGGACGUGUGAAGAAUCAGCAUAGGUGGACUUUAACCAGUAUCUAGAGGGUGUUUCAUCAUGCCAUCAACUUCAGCACGCAAAAUCAAACAACAAAAACGCAGUCAUCUAAGCUAAACAAACUCAUUGAGGAGUAUCACAAUUGAGGGAAAAGUGGUACCUUUUUCGGUGUCAAGCAAGAGGAUAUAAUCAGACAUCACACAUUCACCAGACAGGUUUCUCCUUCCUCUCAUAAAUAGUUCAUCAUUUAUUUAACUAUCCAUUACUCAGUGAACAGAGGUGGUUUCCCCGCCCUCUGUGCCUAGACCAUACAACACACCAGCAUAUUUCUCAGUUAAUCCGCCGAAGUACGACUCCUUGAGCUUGUUGAAGGAGAGCGCGGUGAGCAGAGAAUCGGAGCCUGCCUGAUGGCAGAUCCCGACCCGCUCGACGUCGAGCAGCUCAGCGAGCUUGUUCAGCCCGCCGUGGAGGCUAUUGCAGAAUCUCAUCAAGUGUUUGAUGUCGUAGAUCACGGGG